RNAcentral lists this ribosomal RNA (274 nucleotides) under uncultured bacterium. Its description in RNAcentral is "partial 16S ribosomal RNA". It matches the Rfam family "Bacterial small subunit ribosomal RNA", at positions 523 to 796 of the family's 1533-position model. The record is from RNAcentral.
AUACGUAGGGUGCGAGCGUUAAUCGGAAUUACUGGGCGUAAAGCGUGCGCAGGCGGUUAUGUAAGACAGAUGUGAAAUCCCCGGGCUCAACCUGGGAACUGCAUUUGUGACUGCAUAGCUAGAGUACGGCAGAGGGGGAUGGAAUUCCGCGUGUAGCAGUGAAAUGCGUAGAUAUGCGGAGGAACACCUAUGGCGAAGGCAAUCCCCUGGGCCUGUACUGACGCUCAUGCACGAAAGCGUGGGGAGCAAACAGGAUUAGAAACCCUAGUAGUCC